This 722-nucleotide long non-coding RNA is filed under the name Mus musculus (house mouse). RNAcentral describes it as "predicted gene, 49448". The record is from RNAcentral. Lineage: Eukaryota; Metazoa; Chordata; Mammalia; Rodentia; Muridae.
UUUUGCUAACACUCCUGUUCAGGGUCUUGGUUCUUGCUGUUCUGGAUGCUUACGAUGCUUCCCCCAAAUCCUCCCAUCUGCUUCUCAGCAUACAUCUCUCCGCUCACAUGACACUCACUCAUCUGGGAAAGUCUUCCUCCUCUUGCACUUCCUGCCUAUUCCUCAUUUCAUCUCCUCUUUCUCUUGUCAUUUUUUAGACAGGGCCUGUCUCUGUAGUCUCAGUUGCUACUUAUGCUUUAGUCUCCCUAGUGCUGGGUCACAGGCAUAGGCCCACAUGCUUAGUUCUUAGCGAGGCCUCCUUGUAUCUUUGUGUGAACUAUAGUUUCUAUCUCAUAACUGCUUUCCUCUCUAUAACCAGACAUCAUCUAUUGGGAAAUUUAUGAACAACAGAAGUGCUCUCCUACUGUUCUGCAGGCUGAGAGGUCCAAGAUCAAGGUGUUGGGAUCUGGACGAGGUGAGCGCAACACAUUGUCAGCUUGAUAGGUUUGGAUCUUGCUGUUUACUGGGUUUAGAAUCACCUAGGACACACACCUGUAGGACUGUCUCUGAGGAGAUUCCAGAGGGGCUUAAGUGAGGAAGGAAGAUUUGUCCUGAAUAUGUGAGGAGCCACAGCUGAGACCUGCUUCUGCAGCCACACCUUCCUCACCACAAUGGACCAACAAUCUGUUCCGAAUAAGCCCUUUCUCUCUUAAGUUGCUUCUUGUCAGAUAUCUGGUCAAAGC